RNAcentral lists this ribosomal RNA (522 nucleotides) under Triticum aestivum (bread wheat). Its description in RNAcentral is "partial small subunit ribosomal RNA". The record is from RNAcentral. Lineage: Eukaryota; Viridiplantae; Streptophyta; Magnoliopsida; Poales; Poaceae.
AUGGUGGGAGUGGAUAGGAGUGACUUUGUUCAACAUCUUGUUGAUCGGGUAUGUGAGAAGCUUAAAGGCUGGAAAGAAAAGAUGUUAUUUGUUGGGGCCAAGGAGGCUUUGUUGAAAGUUAUGGCACAGGGAAUUCCCUCAUAAGCAAUGUCAGUGUUAAUUCCUUUGGGAAUUUGCAAAGCUAUUACUGAUGAGAUUGCAGCCUACUGGUGGGGAGAUGAUGAAACAAAGAAAAAGAUGCAUUGGAUGGUGUGGUGGAAGAUGUGCAUUCCGAAGAGGAUAGGAGGUAUGGGCUUUAGGGACCUUCAUAGAUUUAAUCUUGCUAUGAUAGCAAAGCAAUGUUGGUGACUAAUAUAGAAUUCAGAAUCUUUUUGUGCCAGUGUUCUCGGUGCAAAAUACUUCCCAUAUGGUGAUAUUCUAAAUGCAGGGCCAAAGGGUGGUUCUUCUUAUAGAUGGCAAAGCAUUUGUGCACGCAUCCAAACCUUUAAAAGGGGGUGUAUUUGGAGAGUGGGAACAAAGUAA